This is a long non-coding RNA of Aegilops tauschii subsp. strangulata, 516 nucleotides long. RefSeq lists it as uncharacterized. The record is from RefSeq and is a predicted model, not a curated record. Lineage: Eukaryota; Viridiplantae; Streptophyta; Magnoliopsida; Poales; Poaceae.
CUUGAUGAUGAUCCCAUGAUAAGUUAGCAUUAUCUUUUUUGAAUUGGCAGGUAAGGUCCUACCGACGACAAUAUUUGACUUCGUUGUAUUUUUGUUCCUCUCACGGGACAUCAUACCAGAGUUGAAACCGAACUGAAGGGGGACGCCAUGGAGCAAGUCGAGUUCGUGGAGCAAGUCAUGGACGAUGCCAAGGAAGGUUCAAAAGAUACAUGGAUGAUUAUAUGGGUGCAUGACAAGUACACUGCAAUAUGAUGAUGAUGAUGAUCUUCCAGUUCAUGAUUAUGAUGAUGGAUGCUUUCAGUUUUAGUUAAGUUGUAGGGAUGUUGUUCCUAUUCGAUGAUGUUCCUCUGUUAUGUUUUAGUUAAGUAUGAGGGAUGUUGAUUAAUGCUUUUAGUUAAGUUUCUUUCUCGAGAAAUAUUUAAAUAUGCAUCACAUUUAGAUGCUCUUCCUCCUGUAAUAUCCACUACUGUAAUCCAACAAUUUUAUCCAAUAUAUGAUUUCUUCCUCUUGUGAGUA